RNAcentral lists this ribosomal RNA (450 nucleotides) under uncultured Glomus. Its description in RNAcentral is "SSU rRNA". It matches the Rfam family "Eukaryotic small subunit ribosomal RNA", at positions 569 to 1024 of the family's 1831-position model. Lineage: Eukaryota; Fungi; Glomeromycota; Glomeromycetes; Glomerales; Glomeraceae. The record is from RNAcentral.
AGCAGCCGCGGUAAUUCCAGCUCCAAUAGCGUAUAUUAAAGUUGUUGCAGUUAAAAAGCUCGUAGUUGAAUUUCGGGAUUAGUACGCUGGUCGUGCCUUCGGUAUGUACUGGUGUUACUGGUUCCUACCUUCUGACGAACCGUCAUGUCAUUAAUUUGGUGUGGCGGGGAAUCAGGACUGUUACUUUGAAAAAUUAGAGUGUUUAAAGCAGGCUCGCGCUUGAAUACAUUAGCAUGGAAUAAUGAAAUAGGACGUUCGAUCCUAUUUUGUUGGUUUCUAGGAUUGACGUAAUGAUUAAUAGGGAUAGUUGGGGGCAUUAGUAUUCAAUUGUCAGAGGUGAAAUUCUUGGAUCUAUUGAAGACUAACUACUGCGAAAGCAUCUGCCAAGGAUGUUUUCAUUAAUCAAGAACGAAAGUUAGGGGAUCGAAGACGAUCAGAUACCGUCGUAGU